RNAcentral lists this ribosomal RNA (444 nucleotides) under uncultured bacterium. RNAcentral describes it as "SSU rRNA". It matches the Rfam family "Bacterial small subunit ribosomal RNA", at positions 26 to 518 of the family's 1533-position model. The record is from RNAcentral.
AGAGCGAACGCUGGCGGCAGGCUUAACGCAUGCAAGUCGAGCGGGCGUAGCAAUACGUCAGCGGCAGACGGGUGAGUAACGCGUGGGAACAUACCUUUUGGUUCGGAACAACACAGGGAAACUUGUGCUAAUACCGGAUAAGCCCUUACGGGGAAAGAUUUAUCGCCGAAAGAUUGGCCCGCGUCUGAUUAGCUAGUUGGUGAGGUAACGGCUCACCAAGGCGACGAUCAGUAGCUGGUCUGAGAGGAUGAUCAGCCACAUUGGGACUGAGACACGGCCCAAACUCCUACGGGAGGCAGCAGUGGGAAUAUUGGACAAUGGGCGCAAGCCUGAUCCAGCCAUGCCGCGUGAGUGAUGAAGGCCCUAGGGUUGUAAAGCUCUUUGUGCGGAAGAUAAUGACGGUACCGCAAGAAUAAGCCCGGCUAACUUCGCGCCAGCAGCCGC